UACGGAGGGUGCGAGCGUUAAUCGGAAUACUGGCGUAAAGCGCACGCAGGCGGUUUGUUAAGCAAGAUGUGAAAGCCCCGGGCUCAACCUGGGAACUGCAUUUUGAACUGGCAGACUAGAGUCUUGGGAGGGGGGGGUGGAAUUCAGGUGUAGCGGUGAAAUGCGUAGAGAUCUGGAGGAACAUCAGUGGCGAAGGCGGCCCCCUGGCCAAAGACUGACGCUCAUGUGCGAAAGUGUGGGUAGCGAACAGGAUUAGAUACCCCCGUAGUCC
This 271-nucleotide ribosomal RNA is filed under the name uncultured bacterium. RNAcentral describes it as "partial 16S ribosomal RNA". It matches the Rfam family "Bacterial small subunit ribosomal RNA", at positions 524 to 796 of the family's 1533-position model. The record is from RNAcentral.